This 539-nucleotide ribosomal RNA is filed under the name Callianidea typa. RNAcentral describes it as "partial 16S ribosomal RNA". It matches the Rfam family "Bacterial large subunit ribosomal RNA", at positions 1829 to 2625 of the family's 2925-position model. The record is from RNAcentral. Lineage: Eukaryota; Metazoa; Arthropoda; Malacostraca; Decapoda; Callianideidae.
GUCUGAUUAGAAAAUACAAUCAGUCUAGCCUGCCCACUGAAUUCUUUAAAGGGCCGCAGUAUCAUGACUGUGCGAAGGUAGCAUAAUAAUUAGUCUUUUAAUUGAAGACUUGAAUGAACGGCUGAACAAAGAAUUUUCUGUCUCAAUUAAUAAAUUGAAAUUAACCUCUAAGUGAAAAGGCUUAGAUAAACUAGAAGGACGACAAGACCCUGUAAAACUUUAUAUUUUUCAAAGUAUUAUCAUAAUUUAUUUUAGUAACUUAAUUUUGCAUUGAAAAUAUUUCAUUGGGGUGAUGGAAGUAUAAUUUCUUAACUGCUUCUUACUUUAAACAAUUAUAAUUGAAUUUUUGACCUUAAAUUUUAAAUUUCAAGAAAAAGUUACUUCAGGGAUAACAGCGUUAUCUUUCUUAAGAGUCCAUAUCUACAGAAAGGUUUGCGACCUCGAUGUUGAAUUAAAUAACCACAAUAAUGUAGCAGUUAUUGAUGUAGGUCUGUUCGACCUUUAAAAAUUUACAUGAUUUGAGUUCAAACCGGUGUGAG